UCAAGGUCGCAUUUGACCAGCCGCAGGCAGCAGCUGGGCCCAGAGGGCCAGGAGCCCCAGGAGGAGGACGAUGGCCUCUGACUUCAUGGUGCUGCCGGGAGCUGG
Long non-coding RNA from Dermochelys coriacea (leatherback sea turtle), 105 nucleotides. RefSeq lists it as uncharacterized. NCBI's taxonomy places the organism in Eukaryota, Metazoa, Chordata, Testudines, Dermochelyidae. The transcript has 3 exons. The record is from RefSeq and is a predicted model, not a curated record.